UCCGGGGAAUCGUCACAAGGCCAACUGUAGCCUCACACUGCAUCGUCCACCUCACGUCAUCUCACAAAGGCAUUCUGUCUUCUCACAUCAUCACAGGAAGGAAUGAGGAAGAGAGAAGUAAAAGAAAGAAAGAAAAAAAAAGAAAACAAUUCAAGGAAAAACAGAAGCAAAGAAAAUGAACAAAUAAAUGAACCAGCAAACAGAAUGAAACCUGAAUGAAGUUACAUCCAUUUUCCCCUAGAACUGAAACUGUGAAUACUUUUAUAGUCUGUACACUAAGCAGUAUGAAGACCCAGUAUCAAAUUAAAAUAAGUGGACAGUCCCAGACUUCAGUGACAAAGCACCUUGAUUCCAGCAGUGAUUCCCCAGUCUGCUUUCGCUUUGGGUUUCCAUUGUGACCAUUAACUGCUGAAACUGAGCCCAGAGCCCAUGAUCACAAGAUCUGAACGUCGUUGCGAGGGAUCCUAAAGAGGAAGCAAGAGCUGAGAUGCCUAGUGAAGCAGGAAUCAUCCUGGAACUGUCAGGAUGGGAGUUGGAACACUAAGGAAGGUAGAGGAAAAAGGCGACAGAGCCUCGGGUGUUGACAGUACUGAGAGCUGCUGCACUGUCGUCACCUGUCCAGAAAUUCUUGUUGGUUUUGCAGAAGAAGAAAAGCUAUGGUCUGCUGGAGAAGACUGGGAAGACUUUUCAGAAGAGGAGGCAUUUGGGAAAAAUCUGAAGUUCUGCUGGAAUUUAGGGAGGUGGAGAGAAGUGUGGAGGGCAGCAUUCUCUUGAGCUAUCCUUAAAGUUUAGAGCUACUCUUCCUAAUUGUUAUUCUGGAUCCUUUCACUUAUCCCCAGUGUUAAGGAAUGACUCUGUUCUAAACACUGAAAAGCCAUCAACAAUA
This is a long non-coding RNA of Neofelis nebulosa (Clouded leopard), 886 nucleotides long. RefSeq lists it as uncharacterized. Lineage: Eukaryota; Metazoa; Chordata; Mammalia; Carnivora; Felidae. The record is from RefSeq and is a predicted model, not a curated record. The transcript has 6 exons.